CACGUAGGGCGCAAGCGUUGUCCGGAAUUAUUGGGCGUAAAGAGCUCGUAGGCGGUCUGUUGCGUCUGCUGUGAAAACUCGGGGCUUAACCCCGAGCCUGCAGUGGAUACGGGCAGACUAGAGGUAGGUAGGGGAGAAUGGAAUUCCUGGUGUAGCGGUGAAAUGCGCAGAUAUCAGGAGGAACACCGGUGGCGAAGGCGGGUCUCUGGGCCGAUACUGACGCUGAGGAGCGAAAGCGUGGGGAGCGAACAGG
RNAcentral lists this ribosomal RNA (253 nucleotides) under uncultured bacterium. RNAcentral's name for it is "partial 16S ribosomal RNA". It matches the Rfam family "Bacterial small subunit ribosomal RNA", at positions 524 to 776 of the family's 1533-position model. The record is from RNAcentral.